GAGUUCCCUUCGGGGACAUUGGUGACAGGUGGUGCAUGGUUGUCGUCAGCUCGUGUCGUGAGAUGUUGGGUUAAGUCCCGCAACGAGCGCAACCCUUGUCUUUAGUUGCCAUCAUUAAGUUGGGCACUCUAGAGAGACUGCCAGGGAUAACCUGGAGGAAGGUGGGGAUGACGUCAAAUCAUCAUGCCCCUUAUGCUUAGGGCUACACACGUGCUACAAUGGGUAGUACAGAGGGUUGCCAAGCCGUAAGGUGGAGCUAAUCCCUUAAAGCUACUCUCAGU
This 281-nucleotide ribosomal RNA is filed under the name Clostridioides difficile. Its description in RNAcentral is "partial 16S ribosomal RNA". It matches the Rfam family "Bacterial small subunit ribosomal RNA", at positions 1011 to 1292 of the family's 1533-position model. Lineage: Bacteria; Bacillati; Bacillota; Clostridia; Peptostreptococcales; Peptostreptococcaceae. The record is from RNAcentral.